This 69-nucleotide transfer RNA is filed under the name Boana punctata (polka-dot treefrog). RNAcentral describes it as "tRNA-Val". It matches the Rfam family "tRNA". Rfam says of the family: Transfer RNA (tRNA) molecules are approximately 80 nucleotides in length. The record is from RNAcentral. Lineage: Eukaryota; Metazoa; Chordata; Amphibia; Anura; Hylidae.
CAAAAUGUAGCUUAUUUAAAGCAUUUCACUUACACUGAGAAAAUCCCUGAUAAACCCAGGUCAUUUUGA